GAUGAACGCUGGCGGCGUGCCUAAUACAUGCAAGUCGAGCGAAUCGGGGAGGGGUGAGUAACACGUGGAGAAACCCCCAUAAGACUGGGAUAACGUCGGGGAACCGGAGCUAAUCCGGCUUCUUAUAGAUGGAUCAGCGCUGCAUUAGCUAGGUGGUAAGGUAACGGCUUACCAAGGCAAUGAUGCAUAGCCGACCUGAGAGGGUGAUCGGCCACACUGGAACUGAGACACGGUCCAGAAUCCUACGGGAGGCAGCAGUGGGGAAUCUUCCGCAAUGGGCGAAAGCCGGACGGAGCAACGCCGCGUGUGUGAUGAAGGUCUUCGGAUCGUAAAACUCUGUUAUUAGGGAAGCGGUACCUAAUCAGAAAGCCACGGCUAACUACGUGCCAGCAGCCGCGGUAAUUC
This 405-nucleotide ribosomal RNA is filed under the name uncultured bacterium. RNAcentral's name for it is "partial 16S ribosomal RNA". It matches the Rfam family "Bacterial small subunit ribosomal RNA", at positions 28 to 526 of the family's 1533-position model. The record is from RNAcentral.